ACGAAGUUUUUCGGAACUUAGUGGCGGACGGGUGAGUAACGCGUGAGAAUCUGCCUUAAGGAUUGGGACAACAGUGGGAAACCGCUGCUAAUACCAAAUAUGCCUUUUAGUGAAACGGGUAAAACCGCCUUAAGAUGAGCUCGCGUCUGAUUAGCUAGUAGGUGUGGUAAGAGCGCACCUAGGCGACGAUCAGUAGCUGGUCUGAGAGGACGACCAGCCACACUGGGACUGAGACACGGCCCAGACUCCUACGGGAGGCAGCAGUGAGGAAUUUUUCGCAAUGGGCGAAAGCCUGACGGAGCAAUACCGCGUGAGGGAGGAAGGUUCUUGGAUUGUAAACCUCUUUUCUCAGAGAAGAAUAAUGAUGGUAUCUGAGGAAUAAGCAUCGGCUAACUCCGUGCCAGCAGCCGCGGUAAUACGGAGGAUGCAAGCGUUAUCCGGAAUGAUUGGGCGUAAAGGGUCUGUAGGUGGUUGUUCAAGUCUGCUGUUAAAGCGUCUGGCUUAACCAGAUAAAGGCGGUGGAAACUGAACGACUAGAGUGCGGUAGGGGUAGAGGGAAUUCCCAGUGUAGCGGUGAAAUGCGUAGAUAUUGGGAAGAACACCUGUGGCGAAAGCGCUCUACUGGACCGCGACUGACACUGAUGGACGAAAGCUAGGGGAGCGAAUGGGAUUAGAUACCCCAGUAGUCCUAGCCGUA
Molecule: ribosomal RNA, 697 nt
Filed under: uncultured cyanobacterium
Lineage: Bacteria; Bacillati; Cyanobacteriota
Description: bacterial SSU rRNA
Rfam family: Bacterial small subunit ribosomal RNA
Source: RNAcentral